RNAcentral lists this non-coding RNA (51 nucleotides) under Sus scrofa (pig). Lineage: Eukaryota; Metazoa; Chordata; Mammalia; Artiodactyla; Suidae. The record is from RNAcentral.
UGGGGGGGAGGGGCCUUGGGCCUUGGCCCUCGUUGCCACCCCUCUCCUGUC